CGCGGCCUAUCAGCUUGUUGGUGAGGUAAUGGCUCACCAAGGCUUCGACGGGUAGCCGGCCUGAGAGGGCGACCGGCCACACUGGGACUGAGAUACGGCCCAGACUCCUACGGGAGGCAGCAGUGGGGAAUAUUGCACAAUGGGCGAAAGCCUGAUGCAGCGACGCCGCGUGGGGGAUGAAGGCCCUAGGGUCGUAAACCCCUUUCAGUGGGGACGAAACUGACGGUACCCACAGAAGAAGGUCCGGCCAACUACGUGCCAGCAGCCGCGGUAAGGCGUAGGGACCGAGCGUUGUCCGGAUUUAUUGGGCGUAAAGAGCUCGUAGGCGGUUGCGUAAGUCGGAUGUGAAAACCUGAGGCUCAACCUCAAGACGCCAUCCGAUACUGCGCUGACUUGAAUCCAGUAGGGGAGUGUGGAAUUUGUUGUGUAGCGGUGAAAUG
RNAcentral lists this ribosomal RNA (440 nucleotides) under uncultured bacterium. Its description in RNAcentral is "bacterial SSU rRNA". It matches the Rfam family "Bacterial small subunit ribosomal RNA", at positions 232 to 688 of the family's 1533-position model. The record is from RNAcentral.